GUCGAGCGAACGGACGAGAAGCUUGCUUCUCUGAUGUUAGCGGCGGACGGGUGAGUAACACGUGGAUAACCUACCUAUAAGACUGGGAUAACUUCGGGAAACCGGAGCUAAUACCGGAUAAUAUUUUGAACCGCAUGGUUCAAAAGUGAAAGACGGCCUUGCUGUCACUUAUAGAUGGAUCCGCGCUGCAUUAGCUAGUUGGUAAGGUAACGGCUUACCAAGGCAACGAUGCAUAGCCGACCUGAGAGGGUGAUCGGCCACACUGGAACUGAGACACGGUCCAGACUCCUACGGGAGGCAGCAGUAGGGAAUCUUCCGCAAUGGGCGAAAGCCUGACGGAGCAACGCCGCGUGAGUGAUGAAGGUCUUCGGAUCGUAAAACUCUGUUAUUAGGGAAGAACAUAUGUGUAAGUAACUGUGCACAUCUUGACGGUACCUAAUCAGAAAGCCACGGCUAACUACGUGCCAGCAGCCGCGGUAAUACGUAGGUGGCAAGCGUUAUCCGGAAUUAUUGGGCGUAAAGCGCGCGUAGGCGGUUUUUUAAGUCUGAUGUGAAAGCCCACGGCUCAACCGUGGAGGGUCAUUGGAAACUGGAAAACUUGAGUGCAGAAGAGGAAAGUGGAAUUCCAUGUGUAGCGGUGAAAUGCGCAGAGAUAUGGAGGAACACCAGUGGCGAA
RNAcentral lists this ribosomal RNA (676 nucleotides) under uncultured Staphylococcus sp. Its description in RNAcentral is "bacterial SSU rRNA". It matches the Rfam family "Bacterial small subunit ribosomal RNA", at positions 61 to 719 of the family's 1533-position model. Lineage: Bacteria; Bacillati; Bacillota; Bacilli; Caryophanales; Staphylococcaceae. The record is from RNAcentral.